GAUGAACGCUGGCGGCGUGCCUAACACAUGCAAGUCGAGCGAACAGACGAGGAGCUUGCUGGUCGGAGGGGAGGGGCGGACGGGGGAGGAACAAGAGGAUAACCUACCUAUAAGACUGGGAGAACAACGGGAAACCGGAGCUAAUACCGGAGAAUAUAUUGAACCGCAUGGUUGAAUAGUGAAAGACGGUUAUGCUGUCACUUAGAGAUGGAUCCGCGGCGCAUUAGCUAGUUGGUGGGGUAACGGCUUACCAAGGCAGCGAUGAGUAGCCGCCCUGAGAGGGGGGUCGGCCGCCCCGGUAGGGCGGCGCCGCCGCGCCGCCUCCUGGGGGCGGCAGUAGGGAAUCUUCCGGAAUGGGCGAAAGCAUCACGGUGCAGCGCCGCGUGAGGGGUGAUGGUCUUCGUCUCGUAGUGCUCUGUUAUUAGCGAAGAACCAAUGUGUAAGUAUCUGUGCACGUCUUGACGGUAGCUAGUUAGAAAGCCCCGGCUAACUACGUG
Molecule: ribosomal RNA, 497 nt
Filed under: uncultured bacterium
Lineage: Bacteria
Description: partial 16S ribosomal RNA
Rfam family: Bacterial small subunit ribosomal RNA
Source: RNAcentral